CGGCCUGGUUCAAGUAAUCCAGGAUAGGCUGUUACCAGGCAACACGGCCUAUUCUUGAUUACUUGUUUCAGGAGG
Podarcis lilfordi (Lilford's wall lizard) is the source of this 75-nucleotide non-coding RNA. The record is from the annotation of a GenBank genome assembly. Lineage: Eukaryota; Metazoa; Chordata; Lepidosauria; Squamata; Lacertidae.